GCCAGACUCCUACGGGAGGCAGCAGUAGGGAAUUUUGCGCAAUGGGGGAAACCCUGACGCAGCAACACCGCGUGAAUGUUAAGCUCUUCGGGGUGUAAAGUUCUGUCAAUAGGGACGAAUUUUGACUGUACCUAUAAAGGAAGCACCGACUAACUCCGUGCCAGCAGCCGCGGUAAUACGGGGGGUGCAAGCGUUGUCCGGAAUCAUUGGGCGUAAAGCGUUCGUAGGCGGUAUGUCAAGUCUGAUGUUAAAGCCCGGGGCUCAACUCCGGUUCGGCAUUGGAUACUGGCAAACUAGAAUGUGGUAGAGGUAAAGGGAAUUCCUGGUGUAGCGGUGAAAUGCGUAGAUAUCAGGAGGAACAUCGGUGGCGAAGGCGGCCUGCUGGACCGUAACUGACGUUGAGGCUCGAAAGCGUGGGGAGCAAACAGGAUUAGAUACCCUAGUAU
This 446-nucleotide ribosomal RNA is filed under the name uncultured bacterium. RNAcentral describes it as "partial 16S ribosomal RNA". It matches the Rfam family "Bacterial small subunit ribosomal RNA", at positions 330 to 793 of the family's 1533-position model. The record is from RNAcentral.